RNAcentral lists this ribosomal RNA (427 nucleotides) under uncultured prokaryote. Its description in RNAcentral is "bacterial SSU rRNA". It matches the Rfam family "Bacterial small subunit ribosomal RNA", at positions 355 to 774 of the family's 1533-position model. The record is from RNAcentral.
CUAAGAAUAUUCCGCAAUGGACGAAAGUCUGACGGAGCGACGCCGCGUGGAUGAAGAAGGCCGCAAGGUUGUAAAAUCCUUUUGCUGGGGAAGAAUAAGUCCAGGAGGGAAUGCCUGGAUGAUGACAUGAACCGGCGAAUAAGCCCCGGCCAACUACGUGCCAGCAGCCGCGGUAACAAGUAGGGGGCAAGCGUUGUUCGGAAUUACUGGGCGUAAAGGGCAUGUAGGCGGUUUAGUAAGCUUGGCGUGAAAGACCACAGCUUAACUGUGGGGUUGCGUUGAGAACUGCUGAACUUGAGUUACGGAGAGGGAGGUAGAAUUCCCGGUGUAGGGGUGGAAUCUGUAGAGAUCAGGAAGAAUACCGGUGGCGAAGGCGAGCUUCUGGCCGGUAACUGACGCUGAGGUGCGAAAGUGUGGGGAUCAAACA